GAGGAUCUUAGGAGAGAGCCGGAAGGAAAAGGUAAUUAAUAGUCCCAUUUUAAAACCAACGCUGUUAAGGCAUGCAUCAAAGUGUCGAGGUAUUCAUGCCUUUCCAUAAGUGGGUGAAUGAUCAUGCAGAUGCCUGACUCGGGAGGUUAUAUUUGCUAAAGUCACCCUUUUUGAGUUCAAAUGUUUACUCUAGUUCCUUGCAGAACCAAAACAAGGAAUAGAAACUUGGAAAGUUGAACAAGAUGAGUACUUGGCCAGUGCAGUUUAUGAGCAUAUGCAAUUGAAUGAGCAGGUGCAGCAACAGAUAUGGUGCCCAUCUGUAAGAGAGGAGAGUUACAACAGAACCAUCAGCUAAUUUAUUGCACCCUUUGCAAACUUCAGCUUAACAGGGGCGACGAGGUUAAUUUAGAUAUACUACGGUAUCGAUUAGCGGAAGCCCAUGCAGUUCAUCUUGAACGAGGGUGUAGAUUAAAACCCAAG
Molecule: long non-coding RNA, 480 nt
Organism: Hibiscus syriacus
Lineage: Eukaryota; Viridiplantae; Streptophyta; Magnoliopsida; Malvales; Malvaceae
Exons: 3
Source: RefSeq, a predicted model, not a curated record